RNAcentral lists this ribosomal RNA (978 nucleotides) under seawater metagenome. RNAcentral describes it as "bacterial LSU rRNA". It matches the Rfam family "Bacterial large subunit ribosomal RNA", at positions 1954 to 2925 of the family's 2925-position model. The record is from RNAcentral.
GAUCUGCGAAAUUCCUUGUCGGGUAAGUUCCGACCCGCACGAAAGGCGUAACGAUUUGGGCACUGUCUCAACGAGAGACUCGGUGAAAUCAUAGUACCUGUGAAGAUGCAGGUUACCCGCGACAGGACGGAAAGACCCCGUGGAGCUUUACUGUAGCCUGAUAUUGAAAUUCGGCACAGCUUGUACAGGAUAGGUAGGAGCCUUUGAAACGUGAGCGCUAGCUUACGUGGAGGCGUUGGUGGGAUACUACCCUAGCUGUGUUGGCUUUCUAACCCGCACCACUUAUCGUGGUGGGAGACAGUGUCAGGCGGGCAGUUUGACUGGGGCGGUCGCCUCCUAAAAGGUAACGGAGGCGCUCAAAGGUUCCCUCAGAAUGGUUGGAAAUCAUUCAUAGAGUGUAAAGGCAUAAGGGAGCUUGACUGCGAGACCUACAAGUCGAGCAGGGUCGAAAGACGGACUUAGUGAUCCGGUGGUUCCGCAUGGAAGGGCCAUCGCUCAACGGAUAAAAGCUACCCCGGGGAUAACAGGCUUAUCUCCCCCAAGAGUCCACAUCGACGGGGAGGUUUGGCACCUCGAUGUCGGCUCAUCACAUCCUGGGGCUGAAGCAGGUCCCAAGGGUUUGGCUGUUCGCCAAUUAAAGUGGUACGCGAGCUGGGUUUAAAACGUCGUGAGACAGUUUGGUCCCUAUCUGCCGUGGGCGCAGGAGAUUUGAGAGGAUCUGUCCUUAGUACGAGAGGACCGGGAUGGACGAACCACUGGUGUUCCAGUUGUCUCGCCAGAGGCAAUGGCUGGGUAGCUACGUUCGGAAAGGAUAACCGCUGAAAGCAUCUAAGCGGGAAGCCCCCCUCAAGAUUAGUUCUCACUGGAACUUUAAGUUCCCUAAAGGACCCUCGAAGACUACGAGGUUGAUAGGCAAGGUGUGUAAGCGCUGUGAGGCGUUGAGCUAACUUGUACUAAUUAGAUCGGAAGAGCACACGU